RNAcentral lists this ribosomal RNA (637 nucleotides) under uncultured bacterium. Its description in RNAcentral is "bacterial SSU rRNA". It matches the Rfam family "Bacterial small subunit ribosomal RNA", at positions 232 to 883 of the family's 1533-position model. The record is from RNAcentral.
CGCGGCCUAUCAGCUUGUUGGUGGGGUAAUGGCCUACCAAGGCAACGACGGGUAGCUGGUCUGAGAGGAUGUCCAGCCACACUGGGACUGAGACACGGCCCAGACUCCUACGGGAGGCAGCAGUGGGGAAUCUUGCACAAUGGGCGAAAGCCUGAUGCAGCGACGCCGCGUGCGGGAUGAAGGCCCUCGGGUCGUAAACCGCUUUCAGCAGGGACGAUAGUGACGGUACCUGCAGAAGAAGCCCCGGCCAACUACGUGCCAGCAGCCGCGGUAAUACGUAGGGGGCAAGCGUUGUCCGGAUUUAUUGGGCGUAAAGAGCUCGUAGGCGGUUCGAUAAGUCGGGUGUGAAAUCUCCAGGCUCAACCUGGAGGCGCCACUCGAUACUGUCGUGACUUGAGUUCGGUAGAGGAGUAUGGAAUUCCCGGUGUAGCGGUGAAAUGCGCAGAUAUCGGGAGGAACACCCGUAGCGAAGGCGGUACUCUGGGCCGAAACUGACGCUGAGGAGCGAAAGCGUGGGGAGCGAACAGGAUUAGAUACCCUGGUAGUCCACGCCGUAAACGUUGGGCACUAGGUGUGGGGAUCUAUCGACGGUUUCCGUGCCGUAGCUAACGCAUUAAGUGCCCCGCCUGGGGAGUCC